GUGUGCAGACGAAAAUAUGCAUGUGAGUGCUAGAAAUUCGUAAAUUACAUUAUUUCAUUGACUGUUUUUGUUAAAAACACGUGAUGACAAGCUCAGCAAAUCUAUUCAUGGUGGUUUACGUGGCAAAUUGGCUUUCCUUUGUGGGAUAAUGCCAUUUUCAUUAGCUCUACUUUGAUUAGCGUAUGACAGGUGUUCGUGUAAAAUAAGCAAUUUUACCUAUUUCCUUCAUCAGUUUGGUAGCUGAAACAGCUACCAAUUUACUUCCACUAUGACAGUUUCCAGUAACAUAUGCUACUGAUUGGCUAAUAUUAGCCAAUCAGAUCUCUGGAGUUCCCCGCAGUGCGUUACAACUAUGACGCGGCAAAGACAUAUUUGGACAUAUCAUUUCUAUAUUGAUAUGCCUAUCUACACUGCAUUGGCCUUGCGUGGAUGUCAUCAAGUGAAAUAUUUUGGCUUAAGGUCAGUGAGACGCUAGUCGCUACUCUUCUAUACGCUAUGCCCUUUUUCAAUAUGAAUACGGUGUCGUGUUCUGACUGCAGACUCCUGACUUUUCUGGCGGCAGCAGAAAAGUACUCCAGCCCAGCAGACUCCAGCCGAGCCGCACCCAGUGACGGCCGACGCCGAGCGGCCGGUCGGCGCUCCAGACGGGCCGCGCCGCCGGCCAGCCCACCGCCAGGCACUGCACCAGUAGCGGCCGCGCCUGCCCGGCCAGUACCCGGGCCGCGCACACUGCGGCUGACGUGCAGCCCGCCGCCGCCGCAGUCGCCGACCCACGGACGGAUACACGGCCACCUACGUCCGGCUGGCCGACCAGACCACCCUGACCAGGUCUAUCCGCCGACCGGAGCUGGUGCUGCUCCUCAAACACCUGCGGCCCAACACGGCAUACUCAGUCCCGAUGAGCGCCUGUAACCGAGCCGGCCAGGGUCCUGCCAGCUCGCCCGUCACCGCCACCACAGAGGAGGGAGUGCCGGAGGUGGCGCCGCGUCAGCUGACCUGCCGGGUCGUGUCACCCUCCUCCAUCGGUCUCAGCUGCCUGUGGCUGGCCGGCGGCGCGUGCUGGCGGCGCGAGGGCCAGCUCCCGGCCGACCUGGACGUGGCCGAGUUGUGCAGUCUGCUGCCGGUCACAGUCUACCAGCUGUUGGUGAGCGCCCACAGCGCGGCCGGCACCACAGAGUCUACCACCCGGCUGGCCAUCCACGCCGCAGACGGAGCAAUGAUAUCUCCGCUGCCGCCGCCAGAAAAGUCUGUCAAUGGGAGGCAGUGACGCCGGGGCUCAGAACCGGGAGGGCGAUCCGUCGGAGCGGUUAGCUGUGAACUGGCCACGGCCGGGUAGAGCCCACCGUACUCCCGGGACACCUGCUGAAUCGUCAGCUGACUAGUGACGUCCUUAACUCCAGAGGUGCUGUCUUGGACGUGGAACCUGCCGCCCAGCUGGUCGGCGCUGACGCCGUCCCUCGUCCAGGUGACAGCCGGCGGCGGUGACGCGGUGGCCGCACAGGUGAAUGUGACCGCAGUGUCCACCACCGGCUGCACCGUCUGCUGAACCAGCGACAACAGCAGCCGAGCCGGCAACGCUCCGAUCCUGACCUGGGUGGUGGCGAGGUCAUCGGUCACGUGACACUGGUACAUGCCGGCCACGGACGGGUUGCCGCCGGUCAGCUGCAGAGCCGGCUGGCUGGCGGCGGCGGGCAGACGGCGGCCGUCCUUGAACCAGAUGAUGUCGCCGG
Molecule: RNA transcript, 1730 nt
Organism: Amphibalanus amphitrite
Lineage: Eukaryota; Metazoa; Arthropoda; Thecostraca; Balanomorpha; Balanidae
Gene name: Down syndrome cell adhesion molecule homolog
Exons: 2
Source: RefSeq, a predicted model, not a curated record